Molecule: ribosomal RNA, 875 nt
Filed under: uncultured bacterium
Lineage: Bacteria
Description: bacterial SSU rRNA
Rfam family: Bacterial small subunit ribosomal RNA
Source: RNAcentral
ACUGUAAAAAUGGCCAUUGAAACUGAAAGACUUGAAUUUGGUAGAGGUAGGCGGAAUGUGUAGUGUAGCGGUGAAAUGCUUAGAUAUUACACAGAACACCGAUUGCGAAGGCAGCUUACUAUGCCACGAUUGACGCUGAGGCACGAAAGCGUGGGGAGCGAACAGGAUUAGAUACCCUGGUAGUCCACGCCGUAAACGAUGAUAACUGGUUGUGCGCGAUACACAGUGCGCGACUGAGGGAAACCAUUAAGUUAUCCACCUGGGGAGUACGUUGGCAACAAUGAAACUCAAAGGAAUUGACGGGGGCCCGCACAAGCGGAGGAACAUGUGGUUUAAUUCGAUGAUACGCGAGGAACCUUACCUGGGCUUAAAUGUAGAGUGCAUUUUUUAGAAAUAGAGAUUUCCUUCGGGACUCUUUACAAGGUGCUGCAUGGUUGUCGUCAGCUCGUGCCGUGAGGUGUCGGGUUAAGUCCCAUAACGAGCGCAACCCCUAUCGUUAGUUGCUAGCAGGUAAUGCUGAGGACUCUAACGAAACUGCCGGUGUAAACCGAGAGGAAGGUGGGGAUGGCGUCAAAUCAGCACGGCCCUUAUGUCCAGGGCUACACACGUGUUACAAUGGUCGAUACAAUGGGCUGCUACCAGGCAACUGGAUGCUAAUCUCCAAAGUCGAUCUCAGUUCGGAUCGAAGUCUGCAACUCGACUUCGUGAAGUUGGAUUCGCUAGUAAUCGUAUAUCAGCAAUGAUACGGUGAAUACGUUCCCGGGCCUUGUACACACCGCCCGUCAAACCAUGGAAGCUGGGGGUGCCUGAAGUACGUUACCGUAAGGAGCGUCCUAGGGUAAAACUGGUGACUGGGGUUAAGUCGUAACAAGGUA